AGUGGGGGUGUUGUGAAAUGAUGUAUAUGUGGAUUGCCUAGCCCUUUCCAUCAGUUCGGACUUUUGGUUCAAGUGGCUAGUGCAUGAAGCUUAACAAUUUCAUGCUGAGAAGACCUGUUGCUGCAAUGAAAAUGUUCCAUGAGAUAAUUCAAAGUGGGUAGGAGUGAGCAUUUCGACAUGCAAAGUAAUUCUUUGACGACUUUGUUGGAAACUUGGAAUACUUAUGCUGAAAAAGGAAUUCCCAUGUUCGAGAAAUUAGGUGCAAUUAAGCUUAAUAUUGCAAUACUCAUUAUCAUGAUUAAUGUGUAUGGUUUGGUGAAGAGAAGAAUCGCAUAAUGUGUUUGCUGUCAUCCAGUAUUUUUUUCCUGUGGGGAAUAUCAUACAGUGGGUUGGAACUUGGUACAUAAUGUUUCUGCUUAUCAUGUAGUGAUAAGAAAUCUUCUAAAUGAAUGAUUUUUUGAAGAAUGGGAUAAUCUGUUGUCCUCAAUGGAUGAGAGUAAUUGUGCUCCUGGCUCUCGUGUGUCAAAUAAUAUCAUCGAAUGUUAUUGGAAAAGGUUGAAGUUGUGAUUUGUGAAGGUUGGAAUGUCUAAAGUUGAUGGGAAGAGUUUAUCACUUGAAGAUUUAACUACUUCGUUGCUGAUGUCUCUCCUUUCAAGGGAACACAGAUAUUGGGCGCACAUAAAAUUGCUACUGCAGAAUAGGGAUUUUAUGGUGGAGUCGGGUACAAUGCUUAUGAGCUUGACUCCUCAGAAUGUACAGGAUGGGCAGAAACGAUUUGCAUCUGGGACAAUACUAGACAUAAACUAGCGCAAUUGAGUCAGAUAGUAGAUUUCUGAAGACUCCUCCGACUAAUGCAGUAAUUUCCUACUUCUGUAGAGUACUUCUGUUUGGAUAAUGCCUGAGUUGUGCAAGACUUGGCUUGCUUGGAGUAUUUUUAUUUGUAAUACCAUCACGAAAGGGUGUAUUGCUGCAAGCCCAUAUAUAAAUGGUCGUUCAAGGGUUCCCUGAACAUGUUACAUAUCGUUUCCAGAAUAGAUGAUGGGCUCUGCUAGAAGGUCUUAUGCUUCGAACUCACAGAGGAUUGAUCUGUUGUGUUGGAGGUCUACAUGGAUGCUGCCUCUAUAGUCUAUACUCUAGGUACAUGUUUUAGCUGCAGAAAAUCCGCUAAGAUUUAUGUUGCAAGAAAGAUGUUUGGAGGGGCUUGAGGAUCAGCAUAAUUGAGCUGGAAAUAGCAUGCUCGUAAUAACUAAGCAUAAUGUAGAUCUAAAUAAUUAUCAUCAUUUAUUUGCUUUGCUUCAGAGAAGAA
Lolium perenne is the source of this 1306-nucleotide long non-coding RNA. RefSeq lists it as uncharacterized. The record is from RefSeq and is a predicted model, not a curated record. NCBI's taxonomy places the organism in Eukaryota, Viridiplantae, Streptophyta, Magnoliopsida, Poales, Poaceae.